GAUCCUGGCUCAGGACGAACGCUGGCGGCGUGCCUAACACAUGCAAGUCGAACGGAGAAUUUUAUUUCGGUAGAAUUCUUAGUGGCGAACGGGUGAGUAACGCGUAGGCAACCUGCCCUUUAGACGGGGACAACAUUCCGAAAGGAGUGCUAAUACCGGAUGUGAUCAUCGUGCCGCAUGGCAGGAUGAAGAAAGAUGGCCUCUACAAGUAAGCUAUCGCUAAAGGAUGGGCCUGCGUCCGAUUAG
Molecule: ribosomal RNA, 246 nt
Filed under: uncultured bacterium
Lineage: Bacteria
Description: partial 16S ribosomal RNA
Rfam family: Bacterial small subunit ribosomal RNA
Source: RNAcentral